Long non-coding RNA from Felis catus (domestic cat), 2357 nucleotides. RefSeq lists it as uncharacterized. The record is from RefSeq and is a predicted model, not a curated record. The transcript has 3 exons. Lineage: Eukaryota; Metazoa; Chordata; Mammalia; Carnivora; Felidae.
AACUUAAAAAAAAAAAAAAAAAAGAAUUGCAUUGAACUUAAAAAAAAAAAAAAGAUGAUUUUACCAGAUUUUUCUCCAAGGCACUCAGCUUGCUUCUAGCCCAGGCAAAUGGGAUCCUUCCAGCACACAUACCAUGUGUUCCGAGUUGGUGGGUGUAAGGCUGUAGAGUCAACUUGACCCAGCUAGUGAGAGAGGGCAAGUGUGUACGGUCAUCUCCACCUUCUGCUCCAGCAUCUGUGGUCAGUGGAGAUGUUAGUAGUUGUGGGAUCAUCAGUCUUCAACCUCCCCCCAACCCCCACUUUUCCCCACUCCCUUUCUCUUCCCCCCCCCACCCCUAACGUGCAUAACUGACCCCAGGCAUCAUCUCCCCUCUUCCGUCAAGCGUCCUGUGUGGCCCAUCACAGUGAAGGUGCCCUUCUUCUGCUGAAAGCAGGGCCUGCUAUUAUCCACACCUCUCCCCUCCUUCUCAUCAAAUCCCCUCAUCAAAUCCUCUCCCCUGUGCAUUCCUCUUGUGUCCACCCGCACCACCUCUACUCAUUACUCUCACCCCCAGGGGAGGCAACCUCUAGUCCUGCCCCUCCUCAUCUUCAGGCCUCCCCUACUCCGGGAACCCAGGACAGCCAGUCUGUGCGCCCACAACACCCUGUGCUUACCCCUGUUGUGAGCCAGAUUGCCCCUCUACUAAACCAUAAGCUCACUAUCUCUCCUUCACUCUUGUCUCCCCAGUGCUCAACCCAGACCUGACACACAGUAGAUGGCCAAUAGCUAGCUGAUGAGUCAAUGAGUGAGAUAUUUAGAAGAAACGUGGAAAGUUGAGCUUUUACUUGAAGAGAGGUAUUGAAGGUAUUAAGAUAUUUGUAAUUUUUCUUGCAGAGAUUUUUUUGAGAUGUAAUUAACAUUUCCAUCUGCCUUUGUCUUUUUCAAGUUUAUAGCACUAAUAUGUGGAAUUGAUACUUUAUUAUAAUGACAAAGUGCUUCUCUGGUUGUUUCUCAUUCUGUAAUCUUCACUGUAUAUUGAUAGAGAGACUUGGAAAGAAAGCAUGUGUUUUGAAUUCCCUUGAUUGCAUGUGACCCUUAUGGUGUCCCCCACGGUGCCAGGACCAAGGCAGGCUUGAUCAGAGCUGGGCUCAAACAAGAGUUGGCUCUUGGAGGAAUUAGGCAGCUUGCUGGAUUUGCUAGGUGAAAAUGGUUCUUAGUAGGGAUGCCAGUAAAUGUUGGAGAAAGAUCAGUGCUGGGGAAGCCAACACGGGGACAGCAAGCCAGGAACCAGGAGGAGACGGACCAUGCACAUAAGGCUUGUCAGAGACACAGAUUCCAACAAGCGCAGCAGAGGUGGUAUGAUAGCCAAAGGAUCUUCCAUCUGAACCAGGAUUGGCCAUGUAUUUUAAUGCUGGUCUAUGCAAAUGGUAAGGAGUCCUUUAAAAGCCGUGGCCCAGGGAAGCCUGUCUGUCCUGUGCAGGCUUGAAAAAGCCCGUUCCAAGGACGACCAAGGAUUUUCAACAGAUGAGAACACUGACGCACAGGGUAGCUUCGUGAUUUCUUCGAGUUCACCAUACAAGUUUCUGGUGGUGUAGAGGAUAAUGACUGGUACUACAGUCUGGUACCACUGCCUCGAUUCGUGGUAAGGUGGCAGCAGUUUGACCAACUAUUGCUUUUGCCUCAUUAGUGUAAAUGUCAACCAGUGAAAAUGGUACGUAUUCUCUUCAUAUUAUUCUGAAGAGUUUUGACCUUGCAAGACUCUACCAAAAUAUCUCAGAUGUCUCUAGACGUCCAUGGCUCAUCUUUUGAGGACUAUUGGACUAUGAUGUUCCUAGCUGUCAUUUUCUUCCUAUUUAUCCUCUUUGGAAUUUUUUGGUAUUCUUGGAUAUGUAAGUUUAUGUUUUUACUAAAUAUGGGGAAAUUUCACUCAUUAUUUUAUCAAACGUAUUUUUUCAUAUUCCACUCGUUUUCUUCAUGUGAGACUUAAUUAGAUAAAUGGUAAAAUAUUUGACAUUGUCCCUUGUCCCUGAGGCUGUUUCAUUUUUUCCCCCAGUUUUGUUUUCUCUUCUUCAGUUUGAAUCAUUUCUACUAAUCUAUCUUCAAGGUCACUGCCUCUUUCAUCUGUCAUUGUCAAUAUGCUUUGAAACCCACUCAGGGAAAUUUCAUUUUUUUUUCACAUAGUGUGUUUUUGCUUCUAGAAUACUUUCUUAGAAUGCUAAAAUAGGAAAUAGUAUGGUAGUAAAGAAUAUUUUACUUCUAGAAUAGAACAUUUGGUUCUUUUUAUAGUUUCUUUUUAAAUGUUUACUUACUUUUGAGAGAGUGCAAGUGGGGGAGGGGCAGAGACACAGGGGGACAGAGGAUCCAUAGCAGACUGUGUA